Molecule: long non-coding RNA, 2825 nt
Organism: Carassius gibelio (silver crucian carp)
Lineage: Eukaryota; Metazoa; Chordata; Actinopteri; Cypriniformes; Cyprinidae
Exons: 3
Source: RefSeq, a predicted model, not a curated record
GUGCGCGCCCUCAGAGCCAGAGUGGCUCGGAGGACGGUGGGAAUGAGGCCCACUGCCGCCAGCGAGCCGCUGGUGGGCCCUCCCCCGCCCGAAGACGAGUUUGACGUCGGCGUGGUGGACUAUAGCUUCCGCGAACUUCGUCCUCUUCGGAGCUGGCGAGGAGAACGACUCCAUGUCGCUUCGACGUCGAAAAAGGUUUGGGCCUCUCAGUGGGACCGCCCCGACCAAGAGGGCCCUGAGACCUCCAGGAGAAGCUCGUCAGGGUCUUCGGAAAGGUCGUCACGGAGCUGAGUCUCGUUUGCAACGCACAUGACGAGCCUGUGAUAGGUAACUAGUACGGUGUACAUUUUAGGACAUCCUCAGACCUCAGUCAUCAAAUGAAAAGGCGUCAUGCCUCAGACUAAAAGGCUUCAGUCAUCGGACAAAACGGCAUCGCGUCUCUGACUGAAAAGCUUCAGGUCUCAGGAAAAACGACGUCAGGUGUCAGGUCUCAUACAAUUAACGUUAGGCAUCAGACGAAACAGACUCAGAAAAAAAGUCAUCAGACGAAACGGACUCAGACAAAAAGUCAUCAAACGAAAAGGACUCAGGUGGAGAAUCGCGUUGCCCCGCCCCAUGUGACGUCACACGCACGCCGUUCACAGGAAGUAGUAAUGGUUGAUUGAUGGCAAAAGGAGGUAAGCAGCGUCUGAUAUUUUAUAUUUUAUUCAAAUGUUACACUAAUUAAGUUAUAUAGGGAAGAGAACAUGCUUUUCGAGAGUAUUGUGUGCACGUUUAAGAAGUUAGUUAGCCAUAUUGCAACUAGCCAGCUUUUAUUUUGGCCAAGUAGUAAAAUUACCCUUACGAAAAAAAAACAUGAUUUUACUAUCAAAAACCACAAAUAAAUAAAUAAAUAAAUAAAUAAAACACAUGGUCGAUAUAGUUAAAUCAUGGUAUCCACAGAUUAACCAUGGUUUUGCUACUCACCAUAGUUUAACCAUGGUGUUUGUAGUAAAACUGUGGUUAUACAAAUGGUACGUUAAUCAUUACACUAAAAAAACAAUGUUACUACACUUUUACUAUAAUAAAACCACAAUGCAUUAAAUAUAGAAAAACUGUUGUUUCAUCUCAUAAAUAAUUAUAACAAUUAUACGUAUAAAACUUAUACUUAUUUAACUUUAUAAUGGUUUAUAAGUCUUAUAUCGUGACAUUAUUUAUUUAAAAUAUAUACAGUAUCUUACUAUCUUAUUGAUAUUACAAUAAAUAUUGUUAAAAUCAAAAGUGCCAUAUUACACAUUCAUCUAAUCAGAUAUUUGAUAUGUUGGUUGUUUAAGGAAAAAUAAUAUUUUUAUUUUCAUUAUUAUUGUUGUAAUUAUGUAUAGUGGUAUUUGCCUGCUUUGAGUAAAGUAACAAAACAACAAUGCCAAGAUAUGAGACUUGUAUUAUAUCUAAGGGAAACAUUCUAUUGUAAGUUAAGUGGAUGCAUUAUAUUCAUUGCGUAUUAUAAAUCAUAAUCUUAAAUGCUAUAACCACAAAUAAGUAAACAUUAUAACACAUUAAAACUGUUGUUAUGAUUACUCAUGAGAUGAUAUGACAUAUUACAAAGUUUUUUUUCUAAUACAUUAUGCAUUCAUCAUAAUGCCAUAAGAAUUCUCUUAUAAUUUGUUUUAAAUACGGGCUUCAUAGGAAGUGUUACCGUUAAGUUUAAUCGAUAAUGUACUUCUUCACUGAUGUUAUACAAUAUCCUUAUACAAAUGGAAAAAAAAUGUUUACAGCAUCUAAUGCUUUUAUCUUGGAGUGAAACACAACUAAGAAGAUGAAUAAAAUCAAGUGAGCCACAGAGAUGGCAUCGUCCAAGAGCACAGGCAUUUCAUCCAGAGGCAGCGAGUGAACUUUGUGUCCUGAAACCAGAAUCAGUUGGGAAGAAUGGAACCAAGUCUACCCAAUUAAAAGGCUUACACAGGUCCCCUUCCAGAUGCUGAUGUCUUGGCUUCUGGUGCAAAACUACGUCAGAUUAAUCCCAAGCCUUUGCUGCCGCAAAUACUUGAGGGCAUGUCAAAAGUAGAGUUGUACCUCUUGGCAGUCCACUUUCAUUCCAGUGUCCCCGUAUAGCUGCAGGUGUUCCUGAUCUUAAUUUCCCCCCACUACCUGUGCUUGGUUUUCAGUUUGGCUGUAAUUUUAAAUUUGGCCAGACGGACGAGUGCAUGAUCCAUCUGAAACAUUCGUUUGGACUAGUGGAGGUAAAAAGCACCUCUGCUGAAAACAUUGCUCAGGUUCCAUUUAUGAAAAUUCAAAGAGGACUAGCCAAACUUAAAGAGACCCAUAAGUACUACUGGCAGGUACAAGGUCAGACUGCAGUGACUGGUCUACACUGGUGUGACUUUGUGACUGACACACAAUCAGAUUUCAUAAUACAGAUGAUCUGGCGAGAUGAUGCCUUCAUAACAUCAAUGAAAGUACUGUUAUAACGUUUAUCUGGAUGUGUAUCUUUCAGUGGUAUGAAUGGACAGAUUCUGUUCAUAUUAUAGUAUGAACCUAAGAUUUAUUUUUACAUUCAUAGUAAAUAUAUACUUUAUGUAGUUGAGUAGUAUGUAGCAUAUUUUGUAGUAGAUCUUUGAUAACAUAUUAGAUACAUCACAAAUUAUAACAAUAAAUAUAUUGUACUUGCUAUUAAUUAGAUAAAUGUACAUACCAAGGUGAAUACUUUUUGUAUGAAAUCUUCUGUAAUGUAUAUGAUAUGCAUAUUCUUUUACUACUUGCGUAUAUUUACAUUUGAUACAUUGUGUGAUAUAACAAAGAAGAUUUUUUUCAUGAGUUAUUAUAAAAAUACUUUUCAUUGUCAACUA